UCGCGGUUAUACUUAGUGGCUAGGGUAUCCGGAAUUUUGGAGUAAGGGGGCCACGGGGUUUAUUAGUUUGAUGGAAAGCCUCGGCUCAACGUGGAGGGUCAUUGAAAGUGGAGACUGAGUGCAGAAGAGGAAUGUGAACUGCAUGUGUAACGGUGAAAUCGUAGAGAUAUGAGGAUCACCAGUGAGAAGAUGACUUUGUGGUCUGUAAUUACAGUGAGGCGCGAAAGCGUGGGAGCAAACAGGAGUAGAUACCCUGGUAGUGCACGCUGUAAACGAUGAGUGUUAAGUGAUAGAGGGUUUCCGCCCUUUAGUGCUGAAGUUUUGCAUUAAGCACUCCGCUUGGGGAGUACGGCCGCAAGGCUGAAACUCAAAGGAAUUGACGGGGGCCCGCACAAGCGGUGGAGCAUGUGGUUUAAUUCGAAGCAACGCGAAGAACCUUACCAGGUCUUGACAUCCUCUGAAAACCCUAGAGAUAGGGCUUAUCCUUCGGGAGCAGAGUGACAGGUGGUGCAUGGUUGUCGUCAGCUCGUGUCGUGAGAUGUUGGGUUAAGUCCCGCAACGAGCGCAACCCUUGAUCUUAGUUGCCAUCAUUAAGUUGGGCACUCUAAGGUGACUGCCGGUGACAAACCGGAGGAAGGUGGGGAUGACGUCAAAUCAUCAUGCCCCUUAUGACCUGGGGUACACACGUGCUACAAUGGACGGUACAAAGAGCUGCAAGACCGCGAGGUGGAGCUAAUCUCAUAAAACCGUUCUCAGUUCGGAUGUAGGCUGCAACUCGCCUACAUGAAGCUGGAUAAAUAAAAUGGCGAAAAGCAGAAGCGAACCUGAUGGCUUAGGGUGCCA
This 843-nucleotide ribosomal RNA is filed under the name bacterium. Its description in RNAcentral is "bacterial SSU rRNA". It matches the Rfam family "Bacterial small subunit ribosomal RNA", at positions 515 to 1361 of the family's 1533-position model. The record is from RNAcentral.